This 459-nucleotide ribosomal RNA is filed under the name uncultured bacterium. RNAcentral's name for it is "partial 16S ribosomal RNA". It matches the Rfam family "Bacterial small subunit ribosomal RNA", at positions 338 to 795 of the family's 1533-position model. The record is from RNAcentral.
CCUACGGGAGGCAGCAGUGAGGAAUAUUGGUCAAUGGCCGGGAGGCUGAACCAGCCAAGUCGCGUGAGGGAAGACGGCCCUACGGGUUGUAAACCUCUUUUGUCAGGGAGCAAGGUGCAGGUCGGGACCUGCUGUGAGAGUACCUGAAGAAAAAGCAUCGGCUAACUCCGUGUCAGCAGCCGCGGUAAUACGGAGGAUGCGAGCGUUAUCCGGAUUUAUUGGGUUUAAAGGGUGCGCAGGCGGAGGCACAAGUCAGCGGUAAAAUCGCGGGGCUCAACCCCGCUGCGCCGUUGAAACUGUGGCCCUUGAGUGCGCGAAGGGUCGGCGGAAUGCGUGGUGUAGCGGUGAAAUGCAUAGAUAUCACGCAGAACUCCGAUCGCGAAGGCAGCCUACCGGCGCGCAACUGACGCUCAUGCACGAAAGCGUGGGUAUCGAACAGGAUUAGAUACCCUAGUAGUC